Molecule: ribosomal RNA, 429 nt
Filed under: Acidobacteriota bacterium
Lineage: Bacteria; Pseudomonadati; Acidobacteriota
Description: Acidobacteria bacterium partial 16S ribosomal RNA
Rfam family: Bacterial small subunit ribosomal RNA
Source: RNAcentral
UAGGGAAUCUUCCGCAAUGGGCGAAAGCCUGACGGAGCAACGCCGCGUGAGUGAUGAAGGUCUUCGGAUCGUAAAACUCUGUUAUUAGGGAAGAACAAAUGUGUAAGUAACUAUGCACGUCUUGACGGUACCUAAUCAGAAAGCCACGGCUAACUACGUGCCAGCAGCCGCGGUAAUACGUAGGUGGCAAGCGUUAUCCGGAAUUAUUGGGCGUAAAGCGCGCGUAGGCGGUUUUUUAAGUCUGAUGUGAAAGUCCACGGCUCAACCGUGGAGGGUCAUUGGAAACUGGAAAACUGGAGUGCAGAAGAGGAAAGUGGAAUUCCAUGUGUAGCGGUGAAAUGCGCAGAGAUAUGGAGGAACACCAGUGGCGAAGGCGACUUUCUGGUCUGUAACUGACGCUGAUGUGCGAAAGCGUGGGGAUCAAACAGG